CGGACGGGUGAGUAACGCGUGAGAAUUUGCCUUUAGGAGGGGAACAACAGUUAGAAAUGACUGCUAAUGCCCCAUAUGCUCUAUUAUAGUGAAAUGGAGUUUAUCCGCCUGAAGAGAAGUUCGCGUCUGAUUAGCUAGUUGGUAAGGUAAUGGCUUACCAAGGCGACGAUCAGUAACUGGUUUGAGAGGAUGAUCAGUCACACUGGAACUGAGACACGGUCCAGACUCCUACGGGAGGCAGCAGUGGGGAAUUUUCUGCAAUGGGCGAAAGCCUGACAGAGCAAUACCGCGUGAGGGAUGAAGGCUCGUGGGUCGUAAACCUCUUUUUUCAAGGAGGAAUAAAUGACGUGUACUUGAAGAAUAAGCAUCGGCUAACUCCGUGCCAGCAGCCGCGGUAAGACGGAGGAUGCAAGUGUUAUCCGGAAUCACUGGGCGUAAAGCGUCUGUAGGUGGUUUAUUAAGUCGAUUGUUAAAGCUUGAGGCUCAACUUCAAACCAGCAAUCGAAACUGUUAGACUUGAGUAUAGUAGAGGUAAAAGGAAUUUCCAGUGGAGCGGUGAAAUGCGUAGAUAUUGGAAAGAACACCGAUGGCGAAGGCAUUUUACUGGACUGUAACUGACACUCAGAGACGAAAGCUAGGGUAGCAAAUGGGAUUAGAUACCCCAGUAGUC
This 670-nucleotide ribosomal RNA is filed under the name uncultured cyanobacterium. RNAcentral describes it as "bacterial SSU rRNA". It matches the Rfam family "Bacterial small subunit ribosomal RNA", at positions 99 to 795 of the family's 1533-position model. Lineage: Bacteria; Bacillati; Cyanobacteriota. The record is from RNAcentral.